This 375-nucleotide ribosomal RNA is filed under the name uncultured organism. Its description in RNAcentral is "partial 16S ribosomal RNA". It matches the Rfam family "Bacterial small subunit ribosomal RNA", at positions 527 to 897 of the family's 1533-position model. The record is from RNAcentral.
GGAGACUGCGAGCGUUACUCGGAAUCACUGGGCGUAAAGGGUGCGUAGGCAGUUAGGGUGUGUCAGGCGUGAAAUCUUGGGGGCUCAACCCCAAAACUGCACUUGAAACUACCUGACUAGAGACUCGGAGAGGUAAGCGGAAUUCCAGGUGUAGCGGUGAAAUGCGUAGAUAUCUGGAGGAACACCUAUGGCGAAGGCAGCUUACUGGACGAGAACUGACGCUGAGGCACGAAAGCGUGGGGAGCGAAAGGGAUUAGAUACCCCUAUAGUCCACGCUGUAAACGUUGUACACUAGGUUCUGGAGGAGUCGACCCCUCCAAAGCCCAAGCUAACGCGAUAAGUGUACCGCCUGAGGACUACGGCCGCAAAGGCUAA